AGAGUUUGAUCCUGGCUCAGGAUGAACGCUGGCGGCGUGCUUAAUACAUGCAAGUCGAACGGAGACAGUAGCAAUAUUGUCUUAGUGGCGAACGGGUGAGUAACGCGUUGGUGACCUGCCUCGAAGAGAGGGAUAACAGUUCGAAAGGAUUGCUAAUACCUCAUGUGGUUGCUUGGGUUAGAGACCUUGCAACUAAACGGAUUUAUUCGCUUCGAGAGGGGCCUGCGUCCCAUCAGCUAGUUGGUAGGGUAAUGGCCUACCAAGGCGAUGACGGGUAGGGGACCUGAGAGGGUGGCCCCCCACAAUGGAACUGAAACACGGUCCAUACACCUACGGGUGGCAGCAGUAGGGAAUAUUGGUUAAUCUGGGAAACCGGGAACCAGCAACGCCGCGUGCGCGAUGAAGGCCUUCGGGUUGNUAAAGCGCUUUUAGAGAGGAUGAGGAAGGACAGUACUCUCUGAAUAAGCCUCGGCUAACUACGUGCCAGCA
RNAcentral lists this ribosomal RNA (489 nucleotides) under bacterium enrichment culture clone 8. Its description in RNAcentral is "bacterial SSU rRNA". It matches the Rfam family "Bacterial small subunit ribosomal RNA", at positions 8 to 513 of the family's 1533-position model. The record is from RNAcentral.